GACGAACGCUGGCGGCGUGCUUAACACAUGCAAGUCGAACGGAAAGGCCCUGCUUUUGUGGGGUGCUCGAGUGGCGAACGGGUGAGUAACACGUGAGUAACCUGCCCUUGACUUUGGGAUAACUUCUGGAAACUGGGGCUAAUACCGGAUAGGAGCUCCUGCUGCAUGGUGGGGGUUGGAAAGUUUCGGCGGUUGGGGAUGGACUCGCGGCUUAUCAGCUUGUUGGUGGGGUAGUGGCUUACCAAGGCUUUGACGGGUAGCCGGCCUGAGAGGGUGACCGGCCACAUUGGGACUGAGAUACGGCCCAGACUCCUACGGGAGGCAGCAGUGGGGAAUAUUGCACAAUGGGCGGAAGCCUGAUGCAGCAACGCCGCGUGCGGGAUGACGGCCUUCGGGUUGUAAACCGCUUUCGCCUGUGACGAAGCGUGAGUGACGGUAAUGGGUAAAGAAGCACCGGCUAACUACGUGCCAGCAGCCGCGGUGAUACGUAGGGUGCGAGCGUUGUCCGGAUUUAUUGGGCGUAAAGGGCUCGUAGGUGGUUGAUCGCGUCGGAAGUGUAAUCUUGGGGCUUAACCCUGAGCGUGCUUUCGAUACGGGUUGACUUGAGGAAGGUAGGGGAGAAUGGAAUUCCUGGUGGAGCGGUGGAAUGCGCAGAUAUCAGGAGGAACACCAGUGGCGAAGGCGGUUCUCUGGGCCUUUCCUGACGCUGAGGAGCGAAAGCGUGGGGAGCGAACAGGCUUAGAUACCCUGGUAGUCCACGCUGUAAACGGUGGGUACUAGGUGUGGGGUCCAUUCCACGGGUUCCGUGCCGUAGCUAACGCUUUAAGUACCCCGCCUGGGGAGUACGGCCGCAAGGCUAAAACUCAAAGGAAUUGACGGGGCCCCGCACAAGCGGCGGAGCAUGCGGAUUAAUUCGAUGCAACGCGUAGAACCUUACCUGGGUUUGACAUGGAUCGGGAGUGCUCAGAGAUGGGUGUGCCUCUUUUGGGGUCGGUUCACAGGUGGUGCAUGGCUGUUGUCAGCUCGUGUCGUGAGAUGUUGGGUUAAGUCCCGCAACGAGCGCAACCCUUGUUCACUGUUGCCAGCACGUUAUGGUGGGGACUCAGUGGAGACCGCCGGGGUCAACUCGGAGGAAGGUGGGGAUGACGUCAAGUCAUCAUGCCCCUUAUGUCCAGGGCUUCACGCAUGCUACAAUGGCUGGUACAGAGAGUGGCGAGCCUGUGAGGGUGAGCGAAUCUCGGAAAGCCGGUCUCAGUUCGGAUUGGGGUCUGCAACUCGACCUCAUGAAGUCGGAGUCGCUAGUAAUCGCAGAUCAGCAACGCUGCGGUGAAUACGUUCCCGGGGCU
This 1346-nucleotide ribosomal RNA is filed under the name uncultured bacterium. Its description in RNAcentral is "partial 16S ribosomal RNA". It matches the Rfam family "Bacterial small subunit ribosomal RNA", at positions 28 to 1381 of the family's 1533-position model. The record is from RNAcentral.